RNAcentral lists this ribosomal RNA (1396 nucleotides) under metagenome. RNAcentral describes it as "bacterial SSU rRNA". It matches the Rfam family "Bacterial small subunit ribosomal RNA". The record is from RNAcentral.
AGAGUUUGAUCUUGGCUCAGGACGAACGUUGGCGGCGUGUCUAAGGCAUGCAAGUCGAGGGCUCCACCUUCGGGUGGGACCGGCAGACGGGUGAGUAACACAUUGGUAACCUACCUCUAAGACGGGGAUAGCCCACCGAAAGGUGGAUUAAUACCCGAUAGUCAUGAAUUGUCAUAAGGCAAUUUAUGUAAAUCCUUUUGGGCUUAGAGAGGGGCCUAUGGCUGAUUAGCUUGUUGGUAGGGUAAAAGCCUACCAAGGCUAUGAUCAGUAGCAGGCGUGAGAGCGUGACCCGCCUCACUGGGACUGAGACACUGCCCAGACUCCUACGGGAGGCUGCAGUCAAGAAUAUUCCGCAAUGCGCGAAAGCGUGACGGAGCGACGCCGCGUGCAGGAAGACGCCCUUCGGGGUGUAAACUGCUUUUAUUAGGGAAGAAUUUGUGACGGUACCUAAUGAAUAAGAGGUUGCUAACUCUGUGCCAUCAGCAGCGGUAAUACAGAGACCUCAAACGUUGUCCGGAUUUAUUGGGCGUAAAGGGUCCGCAGGUGGUUUGGUAAGUUGACGGUUAAAUCUUGAAGCUUAACUUCGAGACCGCCGUCAAUACUGUCAAACUUGAGGCUGGGAGAGGCAAGCGGAACAAUGGGUGUAGUCGUAAUAAGCGCUGAUAUCCAUUGGAACACCAAAGGCGAAGGCAGCUUGCUAGAACAAGCCUGACACUCAGGGACGAAAGCGUGGGUAGCGAAUGGGAUUAGAUACCCCAGUAGUCCACGCCCUAAACGAUGCGCACUAGGUAUUGGGAGUAUCGACCCUCUCAGUGCCGUUCGAAAAAAGCUAACGCGUUAAGUGCGCCGCCUGGGGAGUACGGCCGCAAGGCUAAAACUCAAAGGAAUAGACGGGGACCCGCACAAGCGGUGGAUCAUGUGGUUUAAUUCGACGAUACGCGGCGAACCUUACCUGGGUUUGACAUAUAGCUGCAUGCCCCCUGAAAAGGGGGAGGCCUUCGAGGGUGCUAUACAGGUGCUGCAUGGUUGCCGUCAGCUCGUGCCGUGAGGUGUACCCUUAAGUGGGGUAACGAGCGCAACCCUCGCCCUGUGUUAAAUUGUACACAGGGGACUGCCGGCGCAAGCCGGAGGAAGGUGGGGACGACGUCAAAUCAGCAUGGCUCUUACAUCCAGGGCGACACACAUGAUACAAUGGCCAGUACAACGGGUAGCCAAACCGCGAGGUGGAGCUAAUCCUUUAAAGCUGGUCUCAGUUCGGAUUGAAGGCUGCAACUCGCCUUCAUGAAGUUGGAAUCGCUAGUAAACGCGCAUCAGCCACGGCGCGUUGAAUACGUUCUCGGGUCUUGUACUCACCGCCCGUCAUACCACGAAAGUUGGCAAUACCCAAAGCCCCCGC